Molecule: ribosomal RNA, 497 nt
Filed under: uncultured bacterium
Lineage: Bacteria
Description: partial 16S ribosomal RNA
Rfam family: Bacterial small subunit ribosomal RNA
Source: RNAcentral
GAUGAACGCUGGCGGCGUGCCUAAUACAUGCAAGUCGAGCGAACGGACGAGAAGCUUGCUUCUCUGAUGUUAGCGGCGGACGGGUGAGUAACACGUGGAUAACCUACCUAUAAGACUGGGAUAACUUCGGGAAACCGGAGCUAAUACCGGAUAAUAUUUUGAACCGCAUGGUUCAAAAGUGAAAGACGGUCUUGCUGUCACUUAUAGAUGGAUCCGCGCUGCAUUAGCUAGUUGGUAAGGUAACGGCUUACCAAGGCAACGAUGCAUAGCCGACCUGAGAGGGUGAUCGGCCACACUGGAACUGAGACACGGUCCAGACUCCUACGGGAGGCAGCAGUAGGGAAUCUUCCGCAAUGGGCGAAAGCCUGACGGAGCAACGCCGCGUGAGUGAUGAAGGUCUUCGGAUCGUAAAACUCUGCUAUUAGGGAAGAACAUAUGUGUGAGUAACUGUGCACAUCUUGACGGUACCUAAUCAGAAAGCCACGGCUAACUACGUG